UUGACAUACACCGGUAACGCCCAGAGAUGGUGCCCCUUUGUGGUCGGUGGACAGGUGGUCGCAUGGUUGUCGUCAGCUCGUGUCGUGAGAUGUUGGGUUAAGUCCCGCAACGAGCGCAACCCUCGUCCUAUGUUGCCAGCGGGUCAUGCCGGGGACUCAUGGGAGACUGCCGGGGUCAACUCGGAGGAAGGUGGGGAUGACGUCAAAUCAUCAUGCCCCUUAUGUCUUGGGCUUCACGCAUGCUACAAUGGCCGGUACAAAGGGCUGCGAUACCGCGAGGUGGAGCGAAUCCCAGAAAGCCGGUCUCAGUUCGGAUUGGGGUCUGCAACUCGACCCCAUGAAGUCGGAGUCGCUAGUAAUCGCAGAUCAGCAACGCUGCGGUGAAUACGUUCCCGGGCCUU
RNAcentral lists this ribosomal RNA (401 nucleotides) under uncultured Cellulomonas sp. Its description in RNAcentral is "bacterial SSU rRNA". It matches the Rfam family "Bacterial small subunit ribosomal RNA", at positions 981 to 1382 of the family's 1533-position model. Lineage: Bacteria; Bacillati; Actinomycetota; Actinomycetes; Micrococcales; Cellulomonadaceae. The record is from RNAcentral.